UACGAGUGGUGCAAGCGUUAUUCGGAAUCACUGGGCGUAAAGGGUGUGUAGGCGGCAUUUCAAGUCUAUUGUUAAAUCUCCCAGCUUAACUGGGAACAUGCAAUGGAUACUGAUGUGAUAGAGGGUGGAAGAGAGAAGUGGAAUUCUCGGAGUAGCGGUAAAAUGCGUAGAUAUCGAGAGGAACACCGAUGGCGAAGGCAGCUUCUUGGUCCACACCUGACGCUGAUACACGAAAGCGUGGGGAGCAAACAGG
RNAcentral lists this ribosomal RNA (253 nucleotides) under uncultured bacterium. RNAcentral describes it as "partial 16S ribosomal RNA". It matches the Rfam family "Bacterial small subunit ribosomal RNA", at positions 524 to 776 of the family's 1533-position model. The record is from RNAcentral.